Erinaceus europaeus (western European hedgehog) is the source of this 322-nucleotide non-coding RNA. The record is from Rfam. NCBI's taxonomy places the organism in Eukaryota, Metazoa, Chordata, Mammalia, Eulipotyphla, Erinaceidae.
UAAUUUAGUUCUAGUUGCAGCAUCCAUCAUCCCAUUGAUUGCCAGGAUUAAAUCUGCUCUGGCUGGUUAGGCAGGUGUCCUUUAAUUCCCUCACUACUCUAUAUGCAUACCUCCCAAAGCUGUGCUCUUAAUCCAGGAGAAUGAAUUUACCAGAAUAGAGAAUAAUCUUUGGUGGAGGGCAUGUGGGUAGCUGCACUCUACUAUUUGAACCUCCAAACAAGCUCUAAUGACCCAUAUAUUGCUAACUUUUUAUGGUUACAGGGUCAAAGUCCAGUUUCCUUGGAAAUAAUUUUAAGCCAGUUUCAAUGAUAAACUCACCACU